UGGGGAAUCUUGCACAAUGGGGGAAACCCUGAUGCAGCGACGCCGCGUGAGCGAUGAAGGUUUUCGAAUCGUAAAGCUCUGUCCUAUGGGAAGAUAAUGACGGUACCAUAGGAGGAAGCCCCGGCUAACUACGUGCCAGCAGCCGCGGUCAUACGUAGGGGGCGAGCGUUGUCCGGAAUUACUGGGCGUAAAGGGUUCGCAGGCGGCAUGACAAGUCCGAUGUAAAAGGCGAAAGCUCAACUUUCGUAAGCAUCGGAAACUGUCAAGCUUGAGUGCAGGAGAGGCAAGUGGAAUUCCUAGUGUAGCGGUGGAAUGCGUAGAUAUUAGGAGGAAUACCGGUGGCGAAGGCGACUUGCUGGACUUCAACUGACGCUGAGGAACGAAAGCGUGGGUAGCAAACAGG
This 403-nucleotide ribosomal RNA is filed under the name bacterium. Its description in RNAcentral is "partial 16S ribosomal RNA". It matches the Rfam family "Bacterial small subunit ribosomal RNA", at positions 355 to 776 of the family's 1533-position model. The record is from RNAcentral.